RNAcentral lists this ribosomal RNA (505 nucleotides) under uncultured Glomeromycotina. RNAcentral's name for it is "SSU rRNA". It matches the Rfam family "Eukaryotic small subunit ribosomal RNA", at positions 591 to 1097 of the family's 1831-position model. Lineage: Eukaryota; Fungi; Glomeromycota. The record is from RNAcentral.
CCAAUAGCGUAUAUUAAAGUUGUUGCAGUUAAAAAGCUCGUAGUUGAAUUUCGGGAUCAUCAGGUUGGUCGUGCCACUGGUAUGUACUUGCCUCGGUGGUCCCUCCCUCUUGAAGAACCGUAAUGCCAUUAAUUUGGUGUUGCGGGGAAUCAGGACUGUUACUUUGAAAAAAUUAGAGUGUUUAAAGCAGGCAAACGCUUGAAUACAUUAGCAUGGAAUAAUGAAAUAGGACGUUUGAUCUUAUUUUGUUGGUUUCUAGGAUCGACGUAAUGAUUAAUAGGGAUAGUUGGGGGCAUUAGUAUUCAAUUGUCAGAGGUGAAAUUCUUGGAUUUAUUGAAGACUGACUACUGCGAAAGCAUUUGCCAAGGAUGUUUUCAUUAAAUCAAGAACGAAAGUUAGGGGAUCGAAGACGAUCAGAUACCGUCGUAGUCUUAACCAUAAACUAUGCCGACUAGGGAUCGGAUGAUGUAAUUUUUUAAUGACUCAUUCGGCGCCUUACGAGAAA